Molecule: long non-coding RNA, 568 nt
Organism: Notolabrus celidotus (New Zealand spotty)
Lineage: Eukaryota; Metazoa; Chordata; Actinopteri; Labriformes; Labridae
Exons: 3
Source: RefSeq, a predicted model, not a curated record
UCCACCUGAGCAGACCACUGAGACCCAUUCUACCGGUGCUGCGUUCGAGUUCACGUGGAGUUCAUGUUAUUAGUAUUACAGGCCUUUCAUGCUCUCGAAUCUCACAGGGAUCAAAAGGGCUUUGUGAGACAAGACCGGAGAGAGACUGGAUUUAAAGCUGCAGAGAAAAGAAUGAAAACCAGGAGAUUUGAAAGAGAGAGGCUCAAAGGAUGAUUUUGCAGUGCCUCACCUGCUGAAGACCUCAUGGAGGGUCGCGUAGGUGACAGCAGGAGCCAUGGAUCCAACCCAGACGGAGUACAGAGCCCUGAGGACGCAGCAGAAGAUGAUUCAAAGCCAUGCUGACGUUCAAGCAAAACUCCACCAAAGUGAUCUGAACUCUACUCACGGUUUCACAGGACUCCUCGAUUUAGGUGUUGGUGAUUGAGAGUUUGAUCUAGCUUGAUCCAAAGCCUCGAACUCUUUGAACUGCGGCAUUCUGGGACGGCUUGUUUGUUGGACAAUCCACUCGCCCUCCUCUUCUUCUUCCUCCUGCAGCAACGGUUGUUUUGGAAUUUCCCUGUGAGCAGUA